RNAcentral lists this ribosomal RNA (253 nucleotides) under uncultured bacterium. RNAcentral describes it as "partial 16S ribosomal RNA". It matches the Rfam family "Bacterial small subunit ribosomal RNA", at positions 524 to 776 of the family's 1533-position model. The record is from RNAcentral.
UACGUAGGCAGCAAGCGUUGUUCGGAGUUACUGGGCGUAAGGGGUGUGUAGGCGGUUCCUUAAGUUUGCUGUGAAAUCUCCCGGCUUAACCGGGAGGGUGCGGUGAAUACUGAGGGACUAGAGUACGGGAGAGGAAAGUGGAAUUCCUGGUGUAGCGGUGAAAUGCGCAGAUAUCAGGAAGAACACCCGUGGCGAAGGCGGCUCUCUGGGACGGUACUGACGCUGAGACGCGAAAGCGUGGGGAGCGAACAGG